RNAcentral lists this small RNA (150 nucleotides) under Spisula solidissima (Atlantic surf clam). Lineage: Eukaryota; Metazoa; Mollusca; Bivalvia; Venerida; Mactridae. The record is from RNAcentral.
UUAGCGAUGCGCCCGUAUUUGUGAUAUUUUACGUUGUGUAUUUAUUUAAAUUGUUUGAAACAAUGUUUUUUAUGACAGUGCACUUAAUAUUUUCGGUUUGAUUAAAGUAUAGAUGUAUAUAUACACUUCCAAAUUAAUGUUAAUCCAGCU